CAGACAUAAUCUUGUUCUUGGAAUUAGCUUUUAAUUUAUUACAAUUUAUCAUUUUAGCCAGUUCUAAUGAAAAACCCAAUGCUAAAUAACAUUACAUCAAUAAUUUAAUCAAAAUCACUCCCCAGUAUAUGUUUAUAUUUUAGUUCUGGUAUUUAAUAUCUAGGUAUGCCUAGUCUGUAAAGGCAGUGGGACACAAGGUACACACAAUUUAAGGCCAAUGCAUGUGAGGUGCUGCUGGUGGGGCCUGGAAACAUCAUGUAAUGCACAGGAUGCAAACUCAGUUGCAAAGUACUGAAAUCAAAAUCUGCUUUACUAACUUACUGUUGACAAGCUGUACAAAGCAUAGAAAUAAUAACUACAGAUAUUUUUCUUUUAUCUAUGUAACUAAUUUUGGUUAGUUUAGACUUGACAUCCCUGCUUUUUAUUUCAAAGAAGGAUCAUAAGAUUGAAAGAAAAAAGGACUAAGUCUUCAAUGAAUAUAAAACAAUAGUGAUUUAUACUGUCCUGUGAAUCUUUUUUUUUUUUUCCUGCUCUGAUUUUUACAUUUUCCCCUGAUGUUCUGACUAGCAAAAUGCCACCACCAGUUUGAAGAGAGACAAACUUAUUCCAUUAUGACACAGCAGCUAUGACAACCUCUUUUAUUGUUGCUUAAUGGUAUGUUCAAGAAUGUCAAAACAGCUUCCAAAUAUUUCUGGUUUGCUGUCUCAGGGACAUGAAAACAGCAGCUUCACAUGAAAUAUUAUUCAGAACAGCUUAAUACUUUGAGAGCAUUUCUUGGCAUUGGUUUUCAGAGGAUCCUGAGCUUGCACUCCCACACAAAUCCCAUUUUUAUCUGCCACUGCUCUGGAGAGAGGCUGAGAUGAAAAGUGUGUUGUGAAAAGGAGAUUCAGGACUGCCAUUCCCUGGAUUUAAAUUAUGAAUAACCAUGAUCCACACACCACCAACCAUGUUCUGUUUUGGGUGCAUGUUCAUCUCAGCUCUCAGUGAGGCACAGGAACAGCAAGAGCAUAUCCUGAGCCUAGGAGAUGGACCUUUGCCUAAAUCUAAUCCUGAGUCAGAUCAGAACACUGAACCCUUGACCCUGCUUCAUGCACCUGGCUUUGGUGAGUAUGGUUCUCAAGUGAGAUGAAAGAACUGUGGAACAGAAAUUCCAUGGGAAAUACAUGCCUAAUAGUAUAAAAGAGGUUAGUGUUAUUUUCAUUUCAACAGUCCUUGAUGGAUUUUCCUUUGUUAGGUUAAGAAAUGAAUAUUGGCAUUUCCCUGUUCCCUUUACCUGAUUCAAGUGCCUUGUGGGUUAUAUAAAAGAUCAGGAGUAGUAUUUUCCAGGUCAGUAGUUAAAUACUGCUCUGGUUCUAGUUGUAUUUUUCCAUAUUCUAUCAGCAGGAAAAUUUAUCCCAGAAGAGAACAAACAGAAAUAUGACAGAAAGAACUUACUUACUGUCUGGUAUGCACCUUGCUUAUCUCCCUUUUUUUUUUUUUCCUUUUUUUUUUUUUUUUUUAAGAAUGAUAUGCUAUAGAGUGACACCACUUUGAACAUGUUUUCCCAUCACUGCUCUACCAGCUCUCAAAACUGCUUUUGUUUGGAUAUUGUUAUUAUCUGCUAGACACUGAUAGGAAUGUGGAGUCACUCACUGAGAAAGGGAAACAUGGUUCUCAUUCAGAAGGAAUGCAGCUUCAGCCAUGCUGUCUACAGCUCUGUUCUAUUUGAUGUCGAGCCGCGGGAUCUUGUGGCAGUAAAAAUCAUUGUGAUUUAUAGGAAAAUGUCACUCCGGCUGUCUCCUCUAUAAAAUCUUUUUACUACUCUUAUUGAAUAUAAAUCAGAAUUAUUUGUCCAACAAUAUCAUAGUUUUGGCAAAAUGUUGUGAAGACAAAAAAUAAUCAUGUUCAAAUUGCCUUGGCUUUAUUCUACAGAGAGAUAUUACUGGAAUCUAUUGCCUUGCCAAGAUCAAUAUCCUUGUCCUUAAAAAUAGGUGUGUGUAACUGUAUGUCUAAAUUGAUAUCCAAACUAAUUUAAGGAUGUUAACCAUGAAGAUUACCUUCAAAUUGCAAUCACAAUAGAUCUAAAUGCUUGAAAUGAAGGUGACAGAAUUUCAAAAUUCCACUCUGACUAUAUUUGUAUCACUAGACUU
Long non-coding RNA from Cyanistes caeruleus (blue tit), 2129 nucleotides. NCBI's taxonomy places the organism in Eukaryota, Metazoa, Chordata, Aves, Passeriformes, Paridae. The record is from Ensembl.